This 497-nucleotide ribosomal RNA is filed under the name uncultured bacterium. Its description in RNAcentral is "partial 16S ribosomal RNA". It matches the Rfam family "Bacterial small subunit ribosomal RNA", at positions 28 to 507 of the family's 1533-position model. The record is from RNAcentral.
GAUGAACGCUGGCGGCGUGCCUAAUACAUGCGAGUCGAGCGAACGGACGAGAAGCUUGCUUUUCUGAUGUUAGCGGCGGACGGGUGAGUAACACGUGGAUAACCUACCUAUAAGACUGGGAUAACUUCGGGAAACCGGAGCUAAUACCGGAUAAUAUUUUGAACCGCAUGGUUCAAAAGUGAAAGACGGUCUUGCUGUCACUUAUAGAUGGAUCCCCGCUGCAUUAGCUAGUUGGUAAGGUAACGGCCUACCAAGGCAACGAUGCAUAGCCGACCUGAGAGGGUGAUCGGCCACACUGGAACUGGAACACGGUCCAGACUCCUACGGGAGGCAGCAGUAGGGAAUCUUCGGCAAUGGGCGAAAGCCUGACGGAGCAACGCCGCGUGAGUGAUGAAGGUCUUCGGAUCGUAAAACUCUGUUAUUAGGGAAGAACAUAUGUGUAAGUAACUGUGCACAUCUUGACGGUACCUAAUCAGAAAGCCACGGCUAACUACGUG